This 253-nucleotide ribosomal RNA is filed under the name uncultured bacterium. RNAcentral describes it as "partial 16S ribosomal RNA". It matches the Rfam family "Bacterial small subunit ribosomal RNA", at positions 524 to 776 of the family's 1533-position model. The record is from RNAcentral.
UACGGGGGGGGCAAGCGUUGUUCGGAAUUACUGGGCGUAAAGGGUUCGUAGGUGGCUUGCUAAGUCAGACGUGAAAUCCCUCAGCUUAACUGGGGAACUGCGUCUGAGACUGGUGAGCUUGAGUGCAGGAGAGGAACGCGGAAUUCCAGGUGUAGCGGUGAAAUGCGUAGAUAUCUGGAGGAACACCGGUGGCGAAGGCGGCGUUCUGGACCAAUUCUGACGCUGAGGAGCGAAAGCCAGGGGAGCAAACGGG